This 157-nucleotide ribosomal RNA is filed under the name Rhus ovata. RNAcentral's name for it is "5.8S ribosomal RNA". It matches the Rfam family "5.8S ribosomal RNA". From Rfam's summary of the family: 5.8S ribosomal RNA (5.8S rRNA) is a component of the large subunit of the eukaryotic ribosome. It is transcribed by RNA polymerase I as part of the 45S precursor that also contains 18S and 28S rRNA. Functionally, it is thought that 5.8S rRNA may be involved in ribosome translocation. The record is from RNAcentral. Lineage: Eukaryota; Viridiplantae; Streptophyta; Magnoliopsida; Sapindales; Anacardiaceae.
AUAACGACUCUCGGCAACGGAUAUUGGCUCUCGCAUCGAUGAAGAACGUAGCAAAAUGCGAUACUUGGUGUGAAUUGCAGAAUCCCGUGAACCAUGAGUUUUGAACGCAAGUUGCGCCUAAGCCAUUAGGCCGAGGGCAGUUGCCUGGGUGUCACGC